RNAcentral lists this ribosomal RNA (253 nucleotides) under uncultured bacterium. Its description in RNAcentral is "partial 16S ribosomal RNA". It matches the Rfam family "Bacterial small subunit ribosomal RNA", at positions 524 to 776 of the family's 1533-position model. The record is from RNAcentral.
UACGAAGGGGGCUAGCGUUGCUCGGAAUUACUGGGCGUAAAGGGUGCGUAGGCGGGUCUUUAAGUCAGGGGUGAAAUCCUGGAGCUCAACCCCGGAACUGCCUUUGAUACUGAGGAUCUUGAGCUCGGGAGAGGUGAGUGGAACUGCGAGUGUAGAGGUGAAAUUCGUAGAUAUUCGCAAGAACACCAGUGGCGAAGGCGGCUCACUGGCCCGAUACUGACGCUGAGGCACGAAAGCGUGGGGAGCAAACAGG